UUCGGAAUUACUGGGCGUAAAGGGCUCGUAGGCGGCCAACUAAGUCAGACGUGAAAUCCCUCGGCUUAACCGGGGAACUGCGUCUGAUACUGGAUGGCUUGAGAUUGGGAGAGGGACGCGGAAUUCCAGGUGUAGCGGUGAAAUGCGUAGAUAUCUGGAGGAACACCGGUGGCGAAGGCGGCGUCCUGGACCAACACUGACACUGAAAAGCGAAAGCCAGGGGAGCAAACGGG
RNAcentral lists this ribosomal RNA (233 nucleotides) under uncultured bacterium. RNAcentral's name for it is "partial 16S ribosomal RNA". It matches the Rfam family "Bacterial small subunit ribosomal RNA", at positions 544 to 776 of the family's 1533-position model. The record is from RNAcentral.